UGGAGGCAAAAUUGAAGGUAGCCAUCAACGGAUUUGGAAGGAUCGGAAGGAAUUUCUUGAGGUGCUGGCAUGGCAGGAAGGACUCUCCCCUAGAAGUCAUUGCCAUCAAUGACUCUGGCGGUGUCAAGCAAGCCUCUCACCUCCUCAAGUACGACUCUACCCUUGGCAUCUUUGACGCUGACGUCAAGCCUGUUGGUACUGAUGGCAUCUCUGUUGAUGGAAAGGUCAUCAAAGUCGUCUCCGACCGCAACCCCAUCAAUCUCCCCUGG
This 269-nucleotide long non-coding RNA is filed under the name Capsicum annuum. RNAcentral's name for it is "long non-coding RNA (CANN_LNC010894)". Lineage: Eukaryota; Viridiplantae; Streptophyta; Magnoliopsida; Solanales; Solanaceae. The record is from RNAcentral.